RNAcentral lists this ribosomal RNA (1372 nucleotides) under uncultured bacterium. Its description in RNAcentral is "bacterial SSU rRNA". It matches the Rfam family "Bacterial small subunit ribosomal RNA", at positions 28 to 1381 of the family's 1533-position model. The record is from RNAcentral.
GAUGAACGCUGGCGGCGUGCCUAAUACAUGCAAGUCGAGCGAACGGACGAGAAGCUUGCUUCUCUGAUGUUAGCGGCGGACGGGUGAGUAACACGUGGAUAACCUACCUAUAAGACUGGGAUAACUUCGGGAAACCGGAGCUAAUACCGGAUAAUAUUUUGAACCGCAUGGUUCAAAAGUGAAAGACGGUCUUGCUGUCACUUAUAGAUGGAUCCGCGCUGCAUUAGCUAGUUGGUAAGGUAACGGCUUACCAAGGCAACGAUGCAUAGCCGACCUGAGAGGGUGAUCGGCCACACUGGAACUGAGACACGGUCCAGACUCCUACGGGAGGCAGCAGUAGGGAAUCUUCCGCAAUGGGCGAAAGCCUGACGGAGCAACGCCGCGUGAGUGAUGAAGGUCUUCGGAUCGUAAAACUCUGUUAUUAGGGAAGAAUAUAUGUGUAAGUAACUGUGCACAUCUUGACGGUACCUAAUCAGAAAGCCACGGCUAACUACGUGCCAGCAGCCGCGGUAAUACGUAGGUGGCAAGCGUUAUCCGGAAUUAUUGGGCGUAAAGCGCGCGUAGGCGGUUUUUUAAGUCUGAUGUGAAAGCCCACGGCUCAACCGUGGAGGGUCAUUGGAAACUGGAAAACUUGAGUGCAGAAGAGGAAAGUGGAAUUCCAUGUGUAGCGGUGAAAUGCGCAGAGAUAUGGAGGAACACCAGUGGCGAAGGCGACUUUCUGGUCUGUAACUGACGCUGAUGUGCGAAAGCGUGGGGAUCAAACAGGAUUAGAUACCCUGGUAGUCCACGCCGUAAACGAUGAGUGCUAAGUGUUAGGGGGUUUCCGCCCCUUAGUGCUGCAGCUAACGCAUUAAGCACUCCGCCUGGGGAGCACGACCGCAAGGUUGAAACUCAAAGGAAUUGACGGGGACCCGCACAAGCGGUGGAGCAUGUGGUUUAAUUCGAAGCAACGCGAAGAACCUUACCAAAUCUUGACAUCCUUUGACAACUCUAGAGAUAGAGCCUUCCCCUUCGGGGGACAAAGUGACAGGUGGUGCAUGGUUGUCGUCAGCUCGUGUCGUGAGAUGUUGGGUUAAGUCCCGCAACGAGCGCAACCCUUAAGCUUAGUUGCCAUCAUUAAGUUGGGCACUCUAAGUUGACUGCCGGUGACAAACCGGAGGAAGGUGGGGAUGACGUCAAAUCAUCAUGCCCCUUAUGAUUUGGGCUACACACGUGCUACAAUGGACAAUACAAAGGGCAGCGAAACCGCGAGGUCAAGCAAAUCCCAUAAAGUUGUUCUCAGCUCGGAUUGUAGUCUGCAACUCGACUACAUGAAGCUGGAAUCGCUAGUAAUCGUAGAUCAGCAUGCUACGGUGAAUACGUUCCCGGGUCU